GGGAGUGUGGUGGAAUCGGCAUACACAUACGGUUUAAGCCCGUAUGCCCUCUGGGAUUGAGAGUUCAAAUCUCUCCACUCCUACCA
RNAcentral lists this transfer RNA (86 nucleotides) under Alkaliphilus sp. B6464. Its description in RNAcentral is "tRNA-Leu". It matches the Rfam family "tRNA". Rfam says of the family: Transfer RNA (tRNA) molecules are approximately 80 nucleotides in length. Their secondary structure includes four short double-helical elements and three loops (D, anti-codon, and T loops). The record is from RNAcentral. Lineage: Bacteria; Bacillati; Bacillota; Clostridia; Peptostreptococcales; Natronincolaceae.